AAGUCGUAAGAAGGUGAACCUGCGGAAGGAUCAUUAACACGUAUCCAAACGUUAACCCCCUGUGAACCUUCAAUGUGCUCGUACACUUUGUCAAAGUCCCUGGUAAAUCAUCGCAACAGUUUGAUUCUGGGACUUCCUCAAAGAGUGUGCAUGUUGCGUGAGGCAAGUGGCCUGGCAUUCCCAAGCAUUUAAUGUCUGAAAGUGUCAUUAGCUGUGUAAGGAUGACGUAGUAACGAUCGUUGGAGGCCGACACGGCCGACGACCGGGUCACUGGCGCAAGCUUCUUUAUCACCACUUGAUACAUGACAGACGCGCCAGCGCUUAAUUGUGUGGCGACCAAAAACCGAACAAUUGUUAACAAUGGAUAUCUUGGUUCUCA
This 379-nucleotide unclassified non-coding RNA is filed under the name fungal sp. Its description in RNAcentral is "partial internal transcribed spacer region". The record is from RNAcentral. Lineage: Eukaryota; Fungi.